This 610-nucleotide ribosomal RNA is filed under the name uncultured Bacteroidota bacterium. RNAcentral's name for it is "bacterial SSU rRNA". It matches the Rfam family "Bacterial small subunit ribosomal RNA", at positions 145 to 754 of the family's 1533-position model. The record is from RNAcentral. Lineage: Bacteria; Pseudomonadati; Bacteroidota.
AGCCUUUCGAAAGGAAGAUUAAUACCCCAUAAUAUUUAGAAUGGCAUCAUUUGAAAUUGAAAACUCCGGUGGAUAGAGAUGGGCACGCGCAAGAUUAGAUAGUUGGUGAGGUAACGGCUCACCAAGUCUGCGAUCUUUAGGGGGCCUGAGAGGGUGAUCCCCCACACUGGUACUGAGACACGGACCAGACUCAUACGGGAGGCAGCAGUGAGGAAUAUUGGACAAUGGGUGAGAGCCUGAUCCAGCCAUCCCGCGUGAAGGACGACGGCCCUAUGGGUUGUAAACUUCUUUUGUACAGGGAUAAACCUACCCUCGUGAGGGUAGCUGAAGGUACUGUACGAAUAAGCACCGGCUAACUCCGUGCCAGCAGCCGCGGUAAUACGGAGGGUGCAAGCGUUAUCCGGAUUUAUUGGGUUUAAAGGGUCCGUAGGCGGAUGUGUAAGUCAGUGGUGAAAUCUCACAGCUUAACUGUGAAACUGCCAUUGAUACUGCAUGUCUUGAGUGUUGUUGAAGUAGCUGGAAUAAGUAGUGUAGCGGUGAAAUGCAUAGAUAUUACUUAGAACACCAAUUGCGAAGGCAGGUUACUAAGCAACAACUGACGCUGAUGGAC